Molecule: ribosomal RNA, 464 nt
Filed under: uncultured bacterium
Lineage: Bacteria
Description: partial 16S ribosomal RNA
Rfam family: Bacterial small subunit ribosomal RNA
Source: RNAcentral
GACGAACGCUGGCGGCGUGCUUAACACAUGCAAGUCGAACGGAAAGGCCCUGCUUGCAGGGUACUCGAGUGGCGAACGGGUGAGUAACACGUGGGUGAUCUGCCCUGCACUUCGGGAUAAGCCUGGGAAACUGGGUCUAAUACCGGAUAGGAGCCAUUUUUAGUGUGAUGGUUGGAAAGUUUUUUCGGUGUAGGAUGAGCUCGCGGCCUAUCAGCUUGUGGUGGGGUAAUGGCCUACCAAGGCGGCGACGGGUAGCCGGCCUGAGAGGGUGGACGGCCACAUUGGGACUGAGAUACGGCCCAGACUCCUACGGGAGGCAGCAGUGGGGAAUAUUGCACAAUGGGCGCAAGCCUGAUGCAGCGACGCCGCGUGGGGGAUGACGGCCUUCGGGUUGUAAACUCCUUUCGCUAGGGACGAAGCUUUUUGUGACGGUACCUAGAUAAGAAGCACCGGCUAACUACGUG